GGAUCUGGGUUGUUUUUGUGUAUUUUGUGCUUGCAACAUGUGUUCAGAGUUUCAGAUGGUGCUGGAGUUCUCAGGUGUGCUGGGUGACAGGUGCGACUUAUUCCACUGAUUACUUGGAGGAGUACUUAAGCAGGAGGCUGCCAGCACUUCGAUGCCAGAGUGUUUUGUCUUCAGUGGUAACAAGCUCAGCCAACACUAAGUUUAUGCUUUGUUCUUCGUUUCCAAGUAAUUUUGUUUAUGCUCCUUCGUAGGCUGAAAACCUGAACUUUGGAUUUACUUCGCUAAUCACUGACUUUGUGUCCGGACGUUUCUGGACGGACAAGAUUACCUAUGGUCUGAGGACUUUGUCUCCUAACAACUGUUUCCAUCCCUCCACCCUCCAAUGCAAAUAUCUGCACAUUGAACUCUCUCCUGAAAUCACCAAGCUCAAAUGGCACCAAAUAAAUCAUCUGAACAAUUUCUGUUUCGACAACCUGGACUCCAAAUCCCUCUACCCCUGGCGACCUGACCGCAUCCACUUAGUUCUGCUCGGUGGUGAUCUCCAUUGUGAGGCUGUGAAUGGGAGAGUUUGGGAGUGUCUCUCCUCCGAUUAAUUAGGAGUGGCCAGCGUUUCCGCUCCCCUGUGGAGGCUUCAGGGGCCGGAGGCACAGUUUUGACCCAGUAAUAUAUCCAGAAACUUUGAGGAAAAGGGUCCCAGCCGGCUGUGGGAGUGGAGCCAGUGAGAGGUAAAUGAAAAAUCAAUGCCGCUGUGACACAUUAACUUAUCCUUCAAUUUCAUAACUGGCAUUAGAUGUCAGGAGAAAUCUGUGUUUUGA
Molecule: long non-coding RNA, 815 nt
Organism: Girardinichthys multiradiatus
Lineage: Eukaryota; Metazoa; Chordata; Actinopteri; Cyprinodontiformes; Goodeidae
Exons: 4
Source: RefSeq, a predicted model, not a curated record